GAUUACGCUGGCGGCGUGCAUGAGACAUGCAAGUCGAACGGACACUCAGGGCUUGCUCUGAGUGUUAGUGGCGGACGGCUGAGUAACGCGUAGGUGACCUGCCCCGAAGUGGGGAAUAACUGCCCGAAAGGGUGGCUAAUACCGCAUGUGGUGAUGCGUUCAUUCGCAUCAGUAAAGCCGCAAGGCGCUUCGGGAGGGGCCUGCGUCCGAUUAGCUCGUUGGUGAGGUAACGGCCUACCAAGGCGACGAUCCGUAGCCGGCCUGAGAGGGCGGUCGGCCACACUGACACUGACAUACGGGUCAGACUCCUACGGGAGGCAGCAGUCGGGAAUUUUGGGCAAUGGGCGAAAGCCUGACCCAGCAACGCCGCGUGAAGGAUGAAAUCCCUCGGGAUGUAAACUUCGCAAGAACGGGAAGAAUAAGACGGUGCUAACACCACCGGCGAUGACGGUACUGUUUGUAAGCUCCGGCUAACUCCGUGCCAGCAGCCGCGGUAAUACGGGGGGAGCAAGCGUUGUUCGGAUUUACUGGGCGUAAAGGGCGCGUAGGCGGCCACCGCAAGUCGAUUGUGAAAUCUCCGGGCUUAACCCGGAAAGGUCAACCGAUACUGCGGGGCUAGAGUGCAGAAGGGGCAACUGGAAUUCUCGGUGUAGCGGUGAAAUGCGUAGAUAUCGAGAGGAACACCUGCGGCGAAGGCGGGUUGCUGGGCUGACACUGACGCUGAAGUGCGAAAGCUAGGGGAGCGAACGGGAUUAGAUACCCCGGUAGUCCUAGCCUUAAACGAUGAAUGCUUGGUGUCUGGGGUUUUAUAGUCCCCGGGUGCCGUCGCUAACGCUUUAAGCAUUCCGCCUGGGGAGUACGGUCGCAAGACUGAAACUCGAAGGAAUUGACGGGGACCCGCACAAGCGGUGGAGCAUGUGGUUUAAUUCGACGCAACGCGAAGAACCUUACCUGGGCUAGAAUGCCUCUGACAGCCCCAGAGAUGGGGUCUCCUGGGUAAAACCAGGCAGAGUGCAAGGUGCUGCAUGGCUGUCGUCGGCUCGUGUCGUGAGAUGUUGGGUUAAGUCCCGCAACGAGCGCAACCCUUAUCAAUAGUUGCCAGCGGUUCGGCCGGGCACUCUAUUGAGACUGCCGUUGACAAAACGGAGGAAGGUGGGGAUGACGUCAAGUCCUCAUGGCCUUUAUGUCCAGGGCUACACACGUGCUACAAUGGCCGGUACAAAGCGCUGCAAAAGAGCAAUCUGGAGCCAAUCGCAAAAAGCCGGUCUCAGUUCGGAUUGGA
Molecule: ribosomal RNA, 1282 nt
Filed under: uncultured bacterium
Lineage: Bacteria
Description: bacterial SSU rRNA
Rfam family: Bacterial small subunit ribosomal RNA
Source: RNAcentral